GCUAAUACCGCAUAACGUCGCAAGACCAAAGUGGGGGACCUUCGUUCCUCAUGCCAUCAGAUGUGCCCAGAUGGGAUUAGCUAGUAGGUGGGGUAACGGCUCACCUAGGCGACGAUCCCUAGCUGGUCUGAGAGGAUGACCAGCCACACUGGAACUGAGACACGGUCCAGACUCCUAGGGGAGGCAGCAGUGGGGAAUAUUGCACAAUGGGCGCAAGCCUGAUGCAGCCAUGCCGCAUGUGUGAAGAAGGCCUUCGGGUUGUAAAGCACUUUCAGCGG
Molecule: ribosomal RNA, 278 nt
Filed under: gamma proteobacterium LM3805
Lineage: Bacteria; Pseudomonadati; Pseudomonadota; Gammaproteobacteria
Description: partial 16S ribosomal RNA
Rfam family: Bacterial small subunit ribosomal RNA
Source: RNAcentral